ACCCCUAUCUCCAGCCCUCCGCCUCCUCCCCAGCUCGCUUUAUCUCCUGCAUCCUGCUGCUUGGCAGCACCCUGGCCUCCGUGUCUCCUCCUGUUCUCUUUUUCCCGGUUCUUCACCUUCCUCUGCGUUCCUCAACCACCCUCCUCUGUCCUUGUCCCGGUGGGUGCGGUGCCAAGGGGAGGGAGUGAGCGGGACCUUCUGCAGCCCAGGUCCUGCUCUGCACCCUCCAGCUAGAGCAGGUCUGCUUCGCCUCCCCCACCGCACGCUCAGGCAGAAGCUGUGUAGGCUCUGAAAGGCAAAGCAUUUUCUCGUCUGAUAAAAGUUCAGAGCAAAGAUCCAAACCUCAGAGUUCAACUUUGCCAAUGGGGGAGGAAAUUGGAGAACCCCUUUUCUUGGGGGCCUUCUGUGCUGGGAGGAAACAGCCACCUCGCUUCGAGUGACAAACACCCCUGGAGACAGUUUGCCUACGAGAAUUUCUCAGGGGAUGCUUGGCACCAGCUCGGCGGUUUGGAAGGGACACAUUUGAAACAAAAUCUUGAUGAAGUUAUUCUAGGUAGAAGGAAAUGAUGCAACGAGGGACUUGUCCAUUUGGAGGAAGUUGGAUUUCCGUCAAGGGUGUUAUCUAACCUGCCUUUUUUUUGUAAUAAAGGCUUUUCUGGCCUGUGCAAGAGGGUGUUCAGCUGCCUGAAGGCUGGGGAGAGCAGUUGUAGGUCA
Columba livia (rock pigeon) is the source of this 714-nucleotide long non-coding RNA. RefSeq lists it as uncharacterized. Lineage: Eukaryota; Metazoa; Chordata; Aves; Columbiformes; Columbidae. The transcript has 2 exons. The record is from RefSeq and is a predicted model, not a curated record.